UACGUAGGGGGCAAGCGUUGUCCGGAUUCAUUGGGCGUAAAGAGCGUGUAGGCGGCCAGGUAGGUCGGUUGUGAAAACUGGAGGCUCAACCUUCAGAGGUCGACCGAAACCAUCUGGCUGGAGUCCGGGAGAGGAGAGUGGAAUUCCUGGUGUAGCGGUGAAAUGCGCAGAUAUCAGGAGGAACACCGAUGGCGAAGGCAGGUCUCUGGGCAUUAACUGACGCUGAGGAGCGAAAGCAUGGGGAGCGAACAGG
RNAcentral lists this ribosomal RNA (253 nucleotides) under uncultured bacterium. RNAcentral's name for it is "partial 16S ribosomal RNA". It matches the Rfam family "Bacterial small subunit ribosomal RNA", at positions 524 to 776 of the family's 1533-position model. The record is from RNAcentral.